GACGAACGCUGGCGGCGUGCUUAACACAUGCAAGUCGAACGGUAAGGCCCUUCGGGGUACACGAGUGGCGAACGGGUGAGUAACACGUGGGUGAUCUGCCCUGCACUUCGGGAUAAGCCUGGGAAACUGGGUCUAAUACCGGAUAGGACCACUGCCUGCAUGGGUGGUGGUGGAAAGCUUUUGCGGUGUGGGAUGGGCCCGCGGCCUAUCAGCUUGUUGGUGGGGUGAUGGCCUACCAAGGCGACGACGGGUAGCCGGCCUGAGAGGGUGACCGGCCACACUGGGACUGAGAUACGGCCCAGACUCCUACGGGAGGCAGCAGUGGGGAAUAUUGCACAAUGGGCGCAAGCCUGAUGCAGCGACGCCGCGUGAGGGAUGACGGCCUUCGGGUUGUAAACCUCUUUCAGCUAUGACGAAGCGCAAGUGACGGUAGUAGCAGAAGAAGGACCGGCCAACUACGUGCCAGCAGCCGCCGUAA
RNAcentral lists this ribosomal RNA (478 nucleotides) under uncultured bacterium. Its description in RNAcentral is "partial 16S ribosomal RNA". It matches the Rfam family "Bacterial small subunit ribosomal RNA", at positions 28 to 523 of the family's 1533-position model. The record is from RNAcentral.